GGGCCCGCACAAGCGGUGGAGCAUGUGGUUUAAUUCGAAGCAACGCGAAGAACCUUACCAGGUCUUGACAUCCCUCUGACCGUCCUAGAGAUAGGACUUCCCUUCGGGGGCAAGGUGACAGGUGGUGCAUGGUUGUCGUCAGCUCGUGUCGUGAGAUGUUGGGUUAAGUCCCGCAACGAGCGCAACCCUUAUUGUUAGUUGCCAUCAUUUAGUUGGGCACUCUAGCAAGACUGCCGGUGAUAAACUGGAGGAAGGUGGGG
RNAcentral lists this ribosomal RNA (260 nucleotides) under uncultured prokaryote. Its description in RNAcentral is "partial 16S ribosomal RNA". It matches the Rfam family "Bacterial small subunit ribosomal RNA", at positions 917 to 1178 of the family's 1533-position model. The record is from RNAcentral.